RNAcentral lists this transfer RNA (77 nucleotides) under Candidatus Abzuiibacterium crystallinum. RNAcentral's name for it is "Candidatus Omnitrophica bacterium CG11_big_fil_rev_8_21_14_0_20_45_26 tRNA-Met". It matches the Rfam family "tRNA". From Rfam's summary of the family: Transfer RNA (tRNA) molecules are approximately 80 nucleotides in length. Their secondary structure includes four short double-helical elements and three loops (D, anti-codon, and T loops). RNAcentral also lists the same sequence under 1 other name. The record is from RNAcentral. Lineage: Bacteria; Pseudomonadati; Candidatus Omnitrophota.
CGCGGGGUGGAGCAGCCCGGUAGCUCGUCAGGCUCAUAACCUGAAGGUCGCAGGUUCAAAUCCUGUCCCCGCUACCA